Non-coding RNA from Elaeis guineensis (African oil palm), 1046 nucleotides. The record is from RefSeq and is a predicted model, not a curated record. NCBI's taxonomy places the organism in Eukaryota, Viridiplantae, Streptophyta, Magnoliopsida, Arecales, Arecaceae.
UGUUAUUUAAAAAAAAACCACUGUAGGUGACGCAAGUAUUGUGACAUCACAGAGUAGAAAAGACAUCAUAUGAUAUGAACCCACUUUGGCAGGGUCUGGAAGCAUUAUUGGCAGCACCCAGCGUCUAAUGUCCACAUAUCAUGAUGCUAAACAGAGGAGUGAGCAGGCUGUUCGCCUCCACUCGCCAAAAUCCGAAUCCUCCGUCCCAGAAACUCAACCAGGAGGAAGUUUAAAGCAUAUACACGUCAAGACAAGUUUCCCUCGCAGGAGAGAUGAUGCCGUGGCCGCCGAUGGCUCCACCCAACCGGACGACGGCAUCAUCUUCCCGGCGAAGGUAACCUGGCCGAAGGCGCAGUAUACACCCACUCUUCAUGACAAAUGAUUAUAUUCUUUCGCGAGUCCGACCGGCCGAUGGUGUUUGGCACUUUCAAAUCGGUGCGAAGUGCUGACCAGAAGCGAUGAGAGAAGCGGAGAUUCCUUUGAUGGCAUCAUCCGGUCUUAUCACGCUAAUUCCGUGGAGAGGAGAGAAGACGUGCAACCGCUUCACCCUGCGCCGUGCCCCAGACCUUCGACAGGCAUGUGAUCCCCAUCCACGUGGAGAGAGGAGAGAAGAAACCCAUCCGAUAGCCCUCCUCUAUCCUCCUCAGCUGGCCACUUUCCACCCCGAGAGGGUUGGUGGAAGGUGUCGUGCCUCUCCUCUCCACUCCACAGAGCGAUCGCCAUCAGAUCUGUUGAACUCUUCACACCGAUCUCAAAGCACCGAGUGCCAUCAGAUGGUCAGGCUCACAAAAGAAGAUUAAUCAUUCUACAGCCCGAAUCAGUCUGCAACUUGCCUGGGAUUGGCCGGGCGUUGGAUAUCAUCCAAUCAAUCAUCAUGCGUAUGACUCAGGCAAUUGACCUAUUUAUGGACCACCAGGGAAACGAAUGAACCUGGAAUUGUAAUGGGUGGCAUAAAUAGCUUAGGAUCACAUGGUAACUCCAUAAAGUAGUUAUCUACUCUGCAUGACUCCUAAUUUGGAGUCUCAUUUGAAAAAAAAAAAAAAAAA